Molecule: long non-coding RNA, 548 nt
Organism: Drosophila montana
Lineage: Eukaryota; Metazoa; Arthropoda; Insecta; Diptera; Drosophilidae
Exons: 3
Source: RefSeq, a predicted model, not a curated record
UUUCUAUCCCACAGUGCACCAUACAAUAUUUAUCCGAUAGUUUUUAUGACAUCUUUUCAAAAAUUGUUAUUCUCUACGAAUGUGUAGACAAACAAAACAAAUUGCUUAGUUUACUUUAUUUGUCUGACGUGCGCGCAAGUAAGUAUUAAGCCAGCGUGGAAAAAAUUGGCACAUUCAUAGAGAUGGCAGACCAGAUAAAGCAAUCCGGAUUUACUAGGCGAUCGACUAACAUCAAAUCAAAAUUGGAUAAUUUAACCCGAAAAUAAAAAUAAGAAUAACAAUGAAAUGUACCGAUUAUAGAAGCUCCACCCAAAUGGGUUAAUUCUUAAAAAAUAGAUCAAAGUUGUGGCUCGUUAAGGAGUCACGGUGGAUAACCAGAGACAUAUGACAGAAUACAUUGAAAAUGACCCGACUAUAUUCGAUCCCGACAGCACUGUCGAGGCUUCUCCAUCAAAGAGCUCCAGCAUUGACCAUCAAGCUGAGCUGGUCAGCAUUGACUGUGAAAGGCUUCAAAUUAAAAAAUAAAAAAAAAAAACAUUGUGCAUUGA